CUCGGUCCUCGGUAGUGGCCUCCGGAUCGUUGCGCACAGCGCGACCCGUGGGCCUCGAUCGAAGACCGGC
This is a non-coding RNA of Nocardioides sp. Soil805, 70 nucleotides long. The record is from Rfam. Lineage: Bacteria; Bacillati; Actinomycetota; Actinomycetes; Propionibacteriales; Nocardioidaceae.